AGAGUUUGAUCCUGGCUCAGGACGAACGCUGGCGGCGUGCUUAACACAUGCAAGUCGAACGGUGAAGUCCCUUCGGGGGCGGAUCAGUGGCGAACGGGUGAGUAACACGUGGGCAAUCUGCCCCUCACUGUGGGAUAACUCCGGGAAACCGGGGCUAAUACCGCAUAUGAAGCCUGGCGGCAUCGCCGGGUUUGGAAAGUUUUUCUGUGAGGGAUGAGCCCGCGGCCUAUCAGCUUGUUGGUGAGGUAAUGGCUCACCAAGGCGACGACGGGUAGCCGGCCUGAGAGGGCGACCGGCCACACUGGGACUGAGACACGGCCCAGACUCCUACGGGAGGCAGCAG
RNAcentral lists this ribosomal RNA (343 nucleotides) under uncultured bacterium. RNAcentral's name for it is "bacterial SSU rRNA". It matches the Rfam family "Bacterial small subunit ribosomal RNA", at positions 8 to 354 of the family's 1533-position model. The record is from RNAcentral.